RNAcentral lists this ribosomal RNA (253 nucleotides) under uncultured bacterium. RNAcentral describes it as "partial 16S ribosomal RNA". It matches the Rfam family "Bacterial small subunit ribosomal RNA", at positions 524 to 776 of the family's 1533-position model. The record is from RNAcentral.
UACGUAGGGUGCGAGCGUUGUCCGGAAUUAUUGGGCGUAAAGGGCUCGUAGGCGGUUUGUCGCGUCGGGAGUGAAAAUCCAGGGCUUAACUCUGGACUGGCUUCCGAUACGGGCAGACUAGAGUUCGGCAGGGGAGACUGGAAUUCCUGGUGUAGCGGUGAAAUGCGCAGAUAUUAGGAGGAACACCGGUGGCGAAGGCGGGUCUCUGGGCCGAUACUGACGCUGAGGAGCGAAAGCGUGGGGAGCAAACAGG